GAUGAACGCUGGCGGCGUGCCUAAUACAUGCAAGUCGAGCGAACAGACGAGGAGCUUGCUCCUCUGACGUUAGCGGCGGACGGGUGAGUAACACGUGGAUAACCUACCUAUAAGACUGGGAUAACUUCGGGAAACCGGAGCUAAUACCGGAUAAUAUAUUGAACCGCAUGGUUCAAUAGUGAAAGACGGUUUUGCUGUCACUUAUAGAUGGAUCCGCGCCGCAUUAGCUAGUUGGUAAGGUAACGGCUUACCAAGGCAACGAUGCGUAGCCGACCUGAAAGGGUGAUCAGACACACUGUAACUGAGACACGGUCCAGACUCCUACGGGAGGCAGCAGUAGGGAAUCUUCCGCAAUGGGCGAAAGCCUGACGGAGCAACGCCGCGUGAGUGAUGAAGGUCUUCGGAUCGUAAAACUCUGUUAUUAGGGAAGAACAAAUGUGUAAGUAACUAUGCACGUCUUGACGGUACCUAAUCAGAAAGCCACGGCUAACUACGUG
RNAcentral lists this ribosomal RNA (497 nucleotides) under uncultured bacterium. RNAcentral's name for it is "partial 16S ribosomal RNA". It matches the Rfam family "Bacterial small subunit ribosomal RNA", at positions 28 to 507 of the family's 1533-position model. The record is from RNAcentral.